RNAcentral lists this long non-coding RNA (2139 nucleotides) under Bemisia tabaci. Its description in RNAcentral is "lncRNA ENSSSA2NGG001383". Lineage: Eukaryota; Metazoa; Arthropoda; Insecta; Hemiptera; Aleyrodidae. The record is from RNAcentral.
GCUCAGUUGUAACGACACCGUCCCGCUCGCCACGCUGUCCCUGCGUCGCGCUCGCGUCCGCGCAGCCACACGGAAAUUCUCACGUGAAAAUUUCCGUGAAAUUUUUCGAAAUUUUCACACGGAAUAUUUCCCGCGCGUAGUGAGUGUUGUGCAUGAAUUUUCAAAAAUUUGGCAAAUUUGAAAAGAAUCGGCCAUAGUAUAGGUUAUCGAGUCGCGAGCGAUCCGCGAUCGAGUGCCAUUUGAUUGGUUUCGCGUUUGUUUCAGUUUUGUUUUUAAAUUUGUCGAAAAUACCCGCUGCGAGGUUAGUUUUGUGUGGCGUGAAGUUGGUGAUAUAAUUACUAUGGAUGCGUUUAACGGGAAAACAGGAUCCUAAAAUUGGAAUUUCAGUUAUUUGAUGGUAAUUUACAUCUUGAUCAAACUGCUACGGAUUGACGUGUAUUUGAGCUUGCAGAGGCAUGGGGCCGUGUCGAAUAUGCAGUUAUUCUCGACAAAAACGGAGGCAAACUUCAAAACUGGUCGCUCCAUCAGUGUUGAAUCAAAUUCGUCCCUAAAGCAGAUUUUCGGGACUUCUGAUGCACUUUCUGAUAAAGUCUAAAAAUCUGGAUGAUCGUUCGUGACCUUAAGCGUCUUGCAUCACCUAACAAAAGCGAAAGAUUCAGUUGCUUCUCUCAAGUAAAGAGCUCCUAUCAAUCAGUGCGUGGGAAAGUAUGGAUAGAAAAUUCAUAAAAAUAAAACCAUCUUUCAAGUUUUCUUUUAGCCAAAUGAAGCAUGAUGAAAUCAACAGAACUAGUACACGGAUAAUUUGUGUUAAUUCAGCAUUAAAUCAUGCUCAAUGUUAGUGAUUAUUGGGUUUAACCAGUAUUAACCGGUAACUGCCAUCUCGAGCACCUUUAGUAGUAUGUGAAAUCGUAUCAGAUCUUAAAUACUAUCCUGAAGUCCAGUGCCAGUUAAAUUUUGUCAGAGGAAACCAUGGUGAGUUCCAGUCAACAAAUUAGCUCGAACAAAUAUUAGCCUUGCCUGUGGCCUUCCGAUCCCAGCAAGCAUUUUCCUCGAAACUUUUUCCCCUCGAAUGAAAAUGAGUGAUUUUUUCUACUGCGCAGAUAACUGAAGUGGCUUUGAAAAACCUCUAAUUUCCAGGCCUGCGGAUGAGCUUUAAGAAUGGCCUGACAAUUAAUACCUAAGUGAAAAUCCACGCUCUUGCGGGCGAUACAUCAAAAGCGUAGAACAGCGGCGCAAAGCAUGUAUUUUAUUAUUCAUGCUACGUCUCAAUGGAAGAUAUUAUUUCUGGGAAAUGUCAUGAAAAAUAUAAAUUCAAUUAGCUCCCUCUAUAUACUUUGGGAGAGUAAAUUUUUCUGCAGAAAAAUGUCUCGUUCUCUACUUCCUUCGUGAGCAGAGCCAACUACGAUGAGAGUCCAUUUUAAAAUGCGGAGCUGCACGAGUUUUUCCCGGUUGCUACCAAUGCUUUUGUGGACAUUUUUUUCGAAGAGCACUCGUUCGUAUCCCGGGAUGAAUUUGGAUUUCACUCACUAAAUUUUAAUAUAUUCUUGCGAAAAAUAAGCUCGUUUAGGCUUUUCUUUAGGAAUUCAGUGUUAACGUUUUUCUCGUAAGUUCUUCAACAGUUAUGAAUGUGGCCUCUCGCGUUUUGAUGAACUCCCACCGAUACUUGACGUGAAAGGUUAUUCUUAGAACAAAGUAAACCGAAUAUCAGAGAAUCUAGUUUAAGUAUGAAUUUCCUUAUUCGUACCGUAAGCUUGUAAAAUUUGUGCGGUUAAAUUUUCCGCGGUACCUAUAGCUUUUGGUCAGUUCCAGAGUCUGAUGUACGGAUAAACAAGUCUCCGUCUCAACUUUUUCCACGGAAGGGAGAGCCCCACUCUCGCGUUGUUUUACGGAGGAUUACAAUUAGUUGAAGGAAAGCAUAUCUACGAAGAAGUAGCGUCUACUAUUGUAUCGCUCUACGAGUGAGACAAGUCUUCUCUAACAUCGUUCUACGGUCUGCGAGUUGCUCAACGGGUGAUAGACUUCACUUUUGAGUCGAUCUACACAUAUCAAGAGCCUGUUCUACGGAAAAGCAUAGAAUAAUCGAGUUUUUGAACAGACAGUAGACUGCUCUCGAGUUGUUCUACUUGCCAGUAGAGCCUC